AGAGUUUGAUCCUGGCUCAGAGUGAACGCUGGCGGCAGGCCUAACACAUGCAAGUCGAACGGCAGCACAGCAGUAGCAAUACUGUGGGUGGCGAGUGGCGGACGGGUGAGGAAUACAUGGGAAUCUGCCCUGUCGUGGGGGAUAACGUAGGGAAACUUACGCUAAUACCGCAUACGACCGGAAGGUGAAAGCGGCGGACCGCAAGGCGUCGCGCGACUGGAUGAGCCCAUGUCGGAUUAGCUAGUUGGCGGGGUAAAGGCCCACCAAGGCGACGAUCCGUAGCUGGUCUGAGAGGAUGAUCAGCCACACUGGAACUGAGACACGGUCCAGACUCCUACGGGAGGCAGCAGUGGGGAAUAUUGGACAAUGGGCGCAAGCCUGAUCCAGCCAUGCCGCGUGAGUGAAGAAGGCCUUCGGGUUGUAAAGCUCCUUUGUCCGGAAAGAAAAGCUCGCGGUUAAUACCCGUGGGUUAUGACGGUACCGGAAGAAUAAGCACCGGCUAACUUCGUGCCAGCAGCCGCGGUAAUACGAAGGGUGCAAGCGUUACUCGGAAUUACUGGGCGUAAAGCGUGCGUAGGUGGUUCGUUAAGUCUGAUGUGAAAGCCCUGGGCUCAACCUGGGAAUGGCAUUGGAAACUGGCGACCUANAGUGCGGUAGAGGGUAGUGGAAUUCCCGGUGUAGCAGUGAAAUGC
RNAcentral lists this ribosomal RNA (692 nucleotides) under uncultured bacterium. RNAcentral's name for it is "bacterial SSU rRNA". It matches the Rfam family "Bacterial small subunit ribosomal RNA", at positions 8 to 689 of the family's 1533-position model. The record is from RNAcentral.